GCGUUCAUAGUUUAAAUGGGAAAACCACUGCCUUCCAAGCAGAAGUUGAGAGUUCGAUGCUCUCUGGACGCUCCA
This 75-nucleotide transfer RNA is filed under the name Pectobacterium phage Arno162. Its description in RNAcentral is "tRNA-Gly". It matches the Rfam family "tRNA". From Rfam's summary of the family: Transfer RNA (tRNA) molecules are approximately 80 nucleotides in length. Their secondary structure includes four short double-helical elements and three loops (D, anti-codon, and T loops). Lineage: Duplodnaviria; Heunggongvirae; Uroviricota; Caudoviricetes; Andersonviridae. The record is from RNAcentral. RNAcentral also lists the same sequence under 3 other names.